UACAUAGGGGGCAAGCGUUAUCCGGAAUUAUUGGGCGUAAAGCGUGCGUAGGUGGCAAAUUAAGUCUGACCUGAAAUUUCACGGCUUAACUGUGAAGGGUGGUUAGAAACUGGUUAGCUUGAAUCCAAGAGAGGUAAGUGGAAUUCCAUGUGUAGCGGUAAAAUGCAUAGAUAUAUGGAGGAACACCAGCGGCGAAGGCGGCUUACUGGCUUGGCAUUGACACUGAGGCACGAAAGCGUGGGUAG
This 245-nucleotide ribosomal RNA is filed under the name uncultured bacterium. Its description in RNAcentral is "partial 16S ribosomal RNA". It matches the Rfam family "Bacterial small subunit ribosomal RNA", at positions 524 to 768 of the family's 1533-position model. The record is from RNAcentral.